UACAUGGGGUGCAAGCGUUAAUCGGAAUUACUGGGCGUAAAGCGUGCGCAGGCGGUGAUGUAAGACAGAUGUGAAAUCCCCGGGCUCAACCUGGGAACUGCAUUUGUGACUGCAUCGCUGGAGUGCGGCAGAGGGGGAUGGAAUUCCGCGUGUAGCAGUGAAAUGCGUAGAUAUGCGGAGGAACACCGAUGGCGAAGGCAAUCCCCUGGACCUGUACUGACGCUCAUGCACGAAAGCGUGGGGAGCAAACAGG
RNAcentral lists this ribosomal RNA (253 nucleotides) under uncultured bacterium. Its description in RNAcentral is "partial 16S ribosomal RNA". It matches the Rfam family "Bacterial small subunit ribosomal RNA", at positions 524 to 776 of the family's 1533-position model. The record is from RNAcentral.